Molecule: unclassified non-coding RNA, 232 nt
Filed under: Hevea brasiliensis (rubber tree)
Lineage: Eukaryota; Viridiplantae; Streptophyta; Magnoliopsida; Malpighiales; Euphorbiaceae
Source: RNAcentral
AUUCUGUUACUUCGUUUUCCGGUAAUAAAUCUCUAUACUUUUGUAUAGAAGCUUAUGGUUACGUGGGUAUCUUUUUGCUUGGGUUAUUGGACAGUAUGCUCGAAUAAAAUUAACUGAUUUUCCUGUGGAAAUAGAAGAUCCUUAGCUUGAAUUGUUUUAAAUGUAGAAUCGUUUUGAUACAGUUGUACUGUUUCAUAAAGUUGCCUAUUUGCCUUCCCCCCUCCCCUUCUUU